This 322-nucleotide long non-coding RNA is filed under the name Homo sapiens (human). RNAcentral describes it as "HSALNT0137970". The record is from RNAcentral. Lineage: Eukaryota; Metazoa; Chordata; Mammalia; Primates; Hominidae.
AUCAGAAAACAUAGGAAAACUUCCAGUUUGGACAAAUACUACAAGAUUUGGGGAUGAUUAGGAUUGGCGAAUUCAUGAGUGAUGGGAUUCAUCCUGGCUUAUCAGAUACCAGGCUUGCAAGGAUACACCAGCCUGCUAAUGCGUUGUUGACCCGGAUUCUGACCUGCUCAAGCAUUAGGUUAAGGUGAGGAAAGAGAAGACCAGCAGAGGUUAUGGAACAGUGGUCCAGAGUGAGACCACCGGCCAGGGCAGGUGACCACCAGAACCAAACUUCAGAGCACGUACGCAUCCCCAGGAAUCCAGAGAUAUGUGGCAGCAGGGA